AGGCCUGUCGUUCAGUGGUAGGACUUCGGUCUCCAAAACCGAUAACGGGGGUUCGAUUCCCUCCAGGCCUGCAA
RNAcentral lists this transfer RNA (74 nucleotides) under Candidatus Curtissbacteria bacterium RIFCSPHIGHO2_01_FULL_41_44. RNAcentral's name for it is "tRNA-Trp". It matches the Rfam family "tRNA". Rfam says of the family: Transfer RNA (tRNA) molecules are approximately 80 nucleotides in length. Their secondary structure includes four short double-helical elements and three loops (D, anti-codon, and T loops). Further hydrogen bonds mediate the characteristic L-shaped molecular structure. tRNAs have two regions of fundamental functional importance: the anti-codon, which is responsible for specific mRNA codon recognition, and the 3' end, to which the tRNAs corresponding amino acid is attached (by aminoacyl-tRNA synthetases). tRNAs cope with the degeneracy of the genetic code in two manners: having more than one tRNA (with a specific anti-codon) for a particular amino acid; and 'wobble' base-pairing, i.e. permitting non-standard base-pairing at the 3rd anti-codon position. RNAcentral also lists the same sequence under 5 other names. Lineage: Bacteria; Candidatus Curtissiibacteriota. The record is from RNAcentral.